CUCUCUCUCUCUCUCUCUUGAAAAGAUAGGAAUUCAUUAAUAGUUAAGUAAUAUAGGGCUCAGGGCCAAACAUUACAACAGAUCAAGCCCACAUCCACCGAUAGAGAAAUCAAUACAUUGAGGUUCACAACCAAGUAACCCAAUACAAAAUCAAGCCCAAAGUCCAUAAUUGAAAACCCCAGCCACCAAACCAAGACUUGCAAAACAAUGCUUUGCAUCGUACGCUGUCUAGAGGAUGAAAGGUUACGCUUUUACAGAAGAUAGAAACACCACAUGAACUCAAGAAAGCUCGGUGUGCCUUCUGACAACCAUCCUUCCAAAUAGUAAGAAGGCCCAUGAGAACUCAGCACCAUCAGUGACCUACAAGAAGAGAUGGAAGGCAGGACUUGUAGACAUAUCAGUCUCUUAUAGCUUUCGAGGGUCGGCGAUCGUGGAAAUCAGUCCAUGCAACUAUGUCGAAGCCCUCUCUUAUGGAACUAACUCAGAAAGCAUAUCCACUUUCCCCAAGCUCAAUUAAACAACAGACACAGCAGAUCUUCAACACAAACCUUUUCCAAAAAAAACCUAGAGAUCUACACACAUAGCCAACAACCUAUUUACAGCCCGUUUGAAAGUGGGAACGGAGAGCCCACUCAUGAGGGUAGGGAAUGAGCCUUCCCUUAAGGUAAGUCACUGAACGAAUAAAAAAAGGAAAAAAAAUAUAUAUAUAUA
Molecule: unclassified non-coding RNA, 711 nt
Filed under: Hevea brasiliensis (rubber tree)
Lineage: Eukaryota; Viridiplantae; Streptophyta; Magnoliopsida; Malpighiales; Euphorbiaceae
Source: RNAcentral